AUGCACGAUUCCAUGUCGGCUUUCCCCGUUGAGGCCGUUUUACGAAAAGAAAGAAAAAAGAAAGAGCACCGGAUGCAUAAUUCCAUGUCGUCUCUCCAACCUCCAGUUCCAUGCCGUCACGUCACCGCUCACGCCUGGAACAGAUCCGAGCCAACUCAGUUCAUGCACGCAGACGCAGGCACGCCGCGACAGGGACCCGGCGACGCACACGCACCCACCCACCCCCGCCCAUCGCGUACUACAAAUUACAGUAGUAGAACCCAGCCGCGAGCCGGAGACCGGACGGACGGCAUACAGUCGUCGUCGCCCGCCGCGCCCAGCCUUCCCGCCAGGCCGCCCGGUAAGAAGCCAAGCCAAGCAGGCCACUCCUUCCCUCCGCUUUCUCCUCGAUCGUGCGGGGUAGAUAGAGUAGAGUAG
Molecule: ribosomal RNA, 417 nt
Filed under: Triticum aestivum (bread wheat)
Lineage: Eukaryota; Viridiplantae; Streptophyta; Magnoliopsida; Poales; Poaceae
Description: partial small subunit ribosomal RNA
Source: RNAcentral